UCGUUUUCUAACUUCCGGGUACUUGGCGUUCUUGGAGACAAUGAUUUACCGCUUGGCAUUUAGUUUUAAGCCUCGCGGUGGACUAGCAGAGCCUGUCAUGUCGUUUGUUUCCCGAUUAUUGAAAAGAAGAGGAUAUAAUGGAUUGAUUGAUACAGGGAUCCAGCAGAUACAGAAAAAGGGACAACACUUCGACUGAAUGCGUCAUCCAUAUACCGAUGCUCACUUCCACUCUAAUACAUUUGCCAGGUUCUUGUGAAAAGUGUUUUAUUUGGCACCAUUCAGCUACAAAUACCCAAUGUAAUCUUUGCCGGUGGAAUUGUGACCUCAAUCAAGUGAAUCAACUGCUGCAAAUUGUUUCAAACAUUUUACACCUGCAGUUAGUGAUGAGUGCAACAGAAGUUUUUAUCAGGAUCUCGUCCGACAUCAUAGGUACAACUGGUCACUGUGAUUUCUUAAAUAACAGGACAUAUUGUGAAGGCGCCUAGGCGGUUACAUA
Molecule: RNA transcript, 496 nt
Organism: Saccostrea cuccullata (small rock oyster)
Lineage: Eukaryota; Metazoa; Mollusca; Bivalvia; Ostreida; Ostreidae
Exons: 4
Source: RefSeq, a predicted model, not a curated record